Molecule: ribosomal RNA, 336 nt
Filed under: Salmonella enterica subsp. enterica serovar Infantis
Lineage: Bacteria; Pseudomonadati; Pseudomonadota; Gammaproteobacteria; Enterobacterales; Enterobacteriaceae
Also listed under: 4 other names
Description: partial 23S ribosomal RNA
Rfam family: Bacterial large subunit ribosomal RNA
Source: RNAcentral
CGGGGGAACUGAAACAUCUAAGUACCCCGAGGAAAAGAAAUCAACCGAGAUUCCCCCAGUAGCGGCGAGCGAACGGGGAGGAGCCCAGAGCCUGAAUCAGCAUGUGUGUUAGUGGAAGCGUCUGGAAAGGCGCGCGAUACAGGGUGACAGCCCCGUACACAAAAGCGCAUGUGCUGUGAGCUCGAUGAGUAGGGCGGGACACGUGGUAUCCUGUCUGAAUAUGGGGGGACCAUCCUCCAAGGCUAAAUACUCCUGACUGACCGAUAGUGAACCAGUACCGUGAGGGAAAGGCGAAAAGAACCCCGGCGAGGGGAGUGAAAAAGAACCUGAAACCGU